Molecule: ribosomal RNA, 758 nt
Filed under: Enterococcus faecium
Lineage: Bacteria; Bacillati; Bacillota; Bacilli; Lactobacillales; Enterococcaceae
Description: bacterial SSU rRNA
Rfam family: Bacterial small subunit ribosomal RNA
Source: RNAcentral
CUUACGAGAUGGUGCGGGCUAUGAUGCUUGUCGACGCUUCUUUUUCCACCGGACCUUGCUCCGCCGGAAAAGGAUGAUUGGCGAUCGGGUGAGUAACACGUGGGUAACCUGCCCAUCAGAAGGGGAUAACACUUGGAAACAGGUGCUAAUACCGUAUAACAAUCAAAACCGCAUGGUUUUGAUUUGAAAGGCGCUUUCGGGUGUCGCUGAUGGAUGGACCCGCGGUGCUUUAUCUAUUUGGUGAGGUAACGGCUCACCAAGGCCACCAUGCAUAGCCGACCUGAGAGGGUGAUCGGCCACAUUGGGACUGAGACACGGCCCAAACUCCUACGGGAGGCAGCAGUAGGGAAUCUUCGGCAAUGGACGAAAGUCUGACCGAGCAACGCCGCGUGAGUGAAGAAGGUUUUCGGAUCGUAAAACUCUGUUGUUAGAGAAGAACAAGGAUGAGAGUAACUGUUCAUCCCUUGACGGUAUCUAACCAGAAAGCCACGGCUAACUACGUGCCAGCAGCCGCGGUAAUACGUAGGUGGCAAGCGUUGUCCGGAUUUAUUGGGCGUAAAGCGAGCGCAGGCGGUUUCUUAAGUCUGAUGUGAAAGCCCCCGGCUCAACCGGGGAGGGUCAUUGGAAACUGGGAGACUUGAGUGCAGAAGAGGAGAGUGGAAUUCCAUGUGUAGCGGUGAAAUGCUUAGAUAUAUGGAGGAACACCAGUGGCGAAGGCGGCUCUCUGGUCUGUAAUCUGACGCUGAGGCUCGAAGCUU